GACGAACGCUGGCGGCGUGCUUAACACAUGCAAGUCGAGCGACUGCAUUCUUUUCGGAGGGUGUAUGGAGCGGCGAACGGGUGAGUAACACGUGAGUAAUCUGCCUUUGGCUUGGGAAUAACUUCGGGAAAUCGGGGCUAAUGCCUGAUGUUUACUGUCUGCUGCAUGGUGGGUGGUGGAAAGAUUUUUUGGCCAGGGAUGAGCUCGCGGUCUAUCAGCUUGNGGGUGGGGUAAUGGCUUACCAAGGCUUUGACGGGUAGCCGGCCUGAGAGGGUGUUCGGCCACACUGGGACUGAGACACGGCCCAGACUCCUACGGGAGGCAGCA
This 327-nucleotide ribosomal RNA is filed under the name uncultured bacterium. RNAcentral describes it as "bacterial SSU rRNA". It matches the Rfam family "Bacterial small subunit ribosomal RNA", at positions 28 to 353 of the family's 1533-position model. The record is from RNAcentral.